This 207-nucleotide ribosomal RNA is filed under the name uncultured bacterium. Its description in RNAcentral is "partial 16S ribosomal RNA". It matches the Rfam family "Bacterial small subunit ribosomal RNA", at positions 568 to 774 of the family's 1533-position model. The record is from RNAcentral.
CGCGUAGGCGGUCUGUUAAGUUCGGUGUGAAAGCCCUCGGCUUACCCGGGGAACUGCGCCGGAAACCGACAGACUCGAGUACCGGAGAGGAGGGUGGAAUUCCUGGUGUAGCGGUGAAAUGCGUAGAUAUCAGGAGGAACACCGGUGGCGAAGGCGGCCCUCUGGACGGAUACUGACGCUGAGGCGCGAAAGCGUGGGGAUCAAACA